Molecule: ribosomal RNA, 488 nt
Filed under: uncultured bacterium
Lineage: Bacteria
Description: partial 16S ribosomal RNA
Rfam family: Bacterial small subunit ribosomal RNA
Source: RNAcentral
AACGAACGCUGGCGGCGUGCUUAACACAUGCAAGUCGAACGGCAAGGCGCUGCUUUUGUGGGCUGCUAGAGUGGCACGCGUGAGUGUAACACCUGAAUAUCCUGACCUUGAGUUUGUGAUAAGUUCAGAGACGUGUGAAUACUGCAGAAUAGGUGCUGCUGCUACCUGGUGGGCGUAAGAAAGUUUCGUAGGUUAGGGGUCGAUUGACGUCUUACUAGCUAGUUGGUGGGGUAAUGGCUUACCAAGGCGUCGACCGGUAGUCGGCCUGUGAGGGCGACCAGCGACACUGGGACUGAGACACGGCCCAGACUACUACGGGAGGCAGCAGUGGGGAACUUUGGACAAUGGGGGCAACUCUGAUCCAGCCAUGCCGCGUGCGGGACGAAGGCCUUCGGGUUGUAAACCGCGUUUGUUGGGGAAGAAAUGCUCUGGGCUAAUACCCCGGGUGGAUGACGGUACCGGAAGAAUAAGCACCGGCUAACUACGUG